Non-coding RNA from Myotis lucifugus (little brown bat), 76 nucleotides. The record is from Rfam. NCBI's taxonomy places the organism in Eukaryota, Metazoa, Chordata, Mammalia, Chiroptera, Vespertilionidae.
GAGACACCCUUAUGGAGCAGGACUUGCUUCAGUGGGACUUUGGUGUUCACUAAGUCUGCCCCUUGAGUGUGUCACU